UAGGUGAAGUGGUUUACCCAUGGAGCUGAAGCCAGUCGCAGAUACCAGCUGGCUGCAACUGUUUAUUAAAAACACAGCACUGUGCAAACACGAAAGUGGACGUAUACGGUGUGACGCCUGCCCGGUGCUGGAAGGUUAAUUGAUGGGGUUAUCCGUAAGGAGAAGCUCUUGAUCGAAGCCCCAGUAAACGGCGGCCGUAACUAUAACGGUCCUAAGGUAGCGAAAUUCCUUGUCGGGUAAGUUCCGACCUGCACGAAUGGCGUAAUGAUGGCCAGGCUGUCUCCACCCGAGACUCAGUGAAAUUGAACUCGCUGUGAAGAUGCAGUGUACCCGCGGCAAGACGGAAAGACCCCGUGAACCUUUACUAUAGCUUGACACUGAACAUUGAGCCUUGAUGUGUAGGAUAGGUGGGAGGCUUUGAAGUGUGGACGCCAGUCUGCAUGGAGCCAACCUUGAAAUACCACCCUUUAAUGUUUGAUGUUCUAACGUUGCCCC
RNAcentral lists this ribosomal RNA (495 nucleotides) under Providencia stuartii. RNAcentral describes it as "partial 23S ribosomal RNA". It matches the Rfam family "Bacterial large subunit ribosomal RNA", at positions 1743 to 2234 of the family's 2925-position model. Lineage: Bacteria; Pseudomonadati; Pseudomonadota; Gammaproteobacteria; Enterobacterales; Morganellaceae. The record is from RNAcentral.